GAUGAACGCUGGCGGCGUGCUUAACACAUGCAAGUCGAACGGAAAGGCUCCUGCUUGCAGGGGUACUCGAGUGGCGAAAGGGUGAGUAACACGUGGGUGAUCUGCCCUGCACUUCGGGAUAAGCCUGGGAAACUGGGUCUAAUACCGGAUAGGACGAUGGUUUGGAUGCCAUUGUGGAAAGUUUUUCGGUGUGGGAUGAGCUCGCGGCCUAUCAGCUUGUUGGUGGGGUAAUGGCCUACCAAGGCGUCGACGGGUAGCCGGCCUGAGAGGGUGUACGGCGACAUUGGGACUGAGAGACGGCCCAGACUCCUACGGGAGGCAGCAGUGGGGAAUAUUGCACAAUGGGCGCAAGCCUGAUGCAGCGACGCCGCGUGGGGGAUGACGGCCUUCGGGUUUUAAACUCCUUUCGCUAGGGACGAAGCGCAAGUGACGGUACCUGGAGAAGAAGCACCGGCUAACUACGUG
RNAcentral lists this ribosomal RNA (465 nucleotides) under uncultured bacterium. RNAcentral describes it as "partial 16S ribosomal RNA". It matches the Rfam family "Bacterial small subunit ribosomal RNA", at positions 28 to 507 of the family's 1533-position model. The record is from RNAcentral.